GGGUUGUGAGGUUAAGCGACUAAGCGUACACGGUGGAUGCCCUGGCAGUCAGAGGCGAUGAAGGACGUGCUAAUCUGCGAAAAGCGUCGGUAAGGUGAUAUGAACCGUUACAGCCGGCGAUGUCCGAAUGGGGAAACCCAGUGCAAUUCGUUGCACUAUCGUUAACUGAAUACAUAGGUUAACGAGGCGAACCGGGGGAACUGAAACAUCUAAGUACCCCGAGGAAAAGAAAUCAACCGAGAUUCCCCCAGUAGCGGCGAGCGAACGGGGAGCAGCCCAGAGUCUGAAUCAGCUUGUGUGUUAGUGGAACGGUCUGGAAAGUCCGACGGUACAGGGUGAUAGUCCCGUACACCAAAAUGCACAGGUUGUGAACUCGAAGAGUAGGGCGGGACACGUGGUAUCCUGUCUGAAUAUGGGGGGACCAUCCUCCAAGGCUAAAUACUCCUGACUGACCGAUAGUGAACCAGUACCGUGAGGGAAAGGCGAAAAGAACCCCGGCGAGGGGAGUGAAAAAGAACCUGAAACCGUGUACGUACAAGCAGUGGGAGCACCUUCGGGUGUGACUGCGUACCUUUUGUAUAAUGGGUCAGCGACUUAUAUUCUGUAGCAAGGUUAACCGUAUAGGGGAGCCGCAGGGAAACCGAGUCUUAACUGGGCGUUAAGUUGCAGGGUAUAGACCCGAAACCCGGUGAUCUAGCCAUGGGCAGGUUGAAGGUUGGGUAACACUAACUGGAGGACCGAACCGACUAAUGUUGAAAAAUUAGCGGAUGACUUGUGGCUGGGGGUGAAAGGCCAAUCAAACCGGGAGAUAGCUGGUUCUCCCCGAAAGCUAUUUAGGUAGCGCCUCGUGAACUCAUCUUCGGGGUAGAGCACUGUUUCGGCUAGGGGGUCAUCCCGACUUACCAACCCGAUGCAAACUACGAAUACCGAAGAAUGUUAUCACGGGAGACACACGGCGGUGCUAACGUCCGUCGUGAAGAGGGAAACAACCCAGACCGCCAGCUAAGGUCCCAAAGUCAUGGUUAAGUGGGAAACGAUGUGGGAAGGCACAGACAGCCAGGAUGUUGGCUUAGAAGCAGCCAUCAUUUAAAGAAAGCGUAAUAGCUCACUGGUCGAGUCGGCC
Molecule: ribosomal RNA, 1123 nt
Filed under: Klebsiella pneumoniae
Lineage: Bacteria; Pseudomonadati; Pseudomonadota; Gammaproteobacteria; Enterobacterales; Enterobacteriaceae
Description: bacterial LSU rRNA
Rfam family: Bacterial large subunit ribosomal RNA
Source: RNAcentral